RNAcentral lists this long non-coding RNA (1182 nucleotides) under Monodelphis domestica (gray short-tailed opossum). RNAcentral describes it as "lncRNA (ENSMODG00000051120.1)". Lineage: Eukaryota; Metazoa; Chordata; Mammalia; Didelphimorphia; Didelphidae. The record is from RNAcentral.
AGGACCACCAGGAGGGAAUCAUGUCUAUCUCUGUUGUGUCAUUGUUGUGUUAGUGUUGCCUUUCAACACUUGAUGAAUGCUAAUGUAGCCACCUUGGGGUUAUUCAUCGUGAUGGAAAUCAGGGACACCAUGAAUCACGGAAAUCCCCAGAUGAGAAAACAGAUCCCAGAGAGGUGAAAAGAUUUGCCUUGUAUCUAGAAUAUAAAAUUUCAUGGCAAGAGGAAAGUCUCUUGUCCCAGACUUCCCAGUGUACUCACUAUGCUGCUUCAGAGACAUCAUUGAAUCACAUGAUUAUGGUCUUCCAAGAAAGAGUUCUGGAUUGGAUCAAAUGACAUACUAGAUGAAAGGCCUUGGUGAACUAUAAAGCAUGACUCAUAGCUGAGAUACUAUGGGAGAAUUUCUCCUUGACUGAGAUGAGUUAUCUUACUCCCAAUGAGAGAGCUCAUUCAUUUUAUAUAUUGUCAGGUGCUGCUCUAGUGACUUUUCUCCCUCAUCUGUACCUUCCAGUGUGCCAAACUGAGAUAAAAAUAUUCUCCUCUGGGGAAAUUUCAAGAUCAAUAAAUGGAAAAAGCCAGAGGCAACAUGUCAAGGGGAGGGAAAAGACUGAUGAUAUAUGACAUUUUCAACCACAGCCAGAGAGAUUGGAUAUUUAUAACUUUGGCAACCGACUUUGGAGAUUUUCUCUCUAGGUAUCCCAACUGGUGGCACGUGACUCUUUUACCCUUUAAUUUGGUUUAACAAAGUAAUCUUGACUUCCAAUUUAUACCAUGCUCUUCCCUGGUGGUAUAUGCAUUUUGUAGAAAACAGCCACAAGCAAGUUCUAGAAUAUUCUCCUGUCUUUCCCAAUGGAUAGCACUUGGCACCCUGCCUGUUCUUGUUGUUAGUCUAUGCUACUUGAAAAAAUUUGCAUAAAUAAUUUUCCUUCUCCUGAUUAAACUCUGCUUUCGCAGAAAGGCUUACUACUUACCAGAUUGAUGGAGUUCAAAACACAAGUUAAUUUGAGUUAUUUCCUCUUUCUCAAUUCACUGACUUAUUUGAAAAAGCAAUAACAAAAGCCUGGGAUACAUCAGGAAGGCAAAACUGUAAUUUGGUUAAAGAGCUUCAUUCUUAAUUACCUUGCUAUUAAAUUUCCCACAUUGCUUCAAUUCACAGCCUCAGGACUGCAUUUCCAUUUUCAAUUGA